GAGCAGAGGAUGUGAAACAUUUAGACCGCUGAGGCCUCUCCGGCCUUUGAUGAUCUAAAAAUCGAGCUUUUUAAAACUGAUGCCUA
Non-coding RNA from Triticum urartu, 86 nucleotides. Lineage: Eukaryota; Viridiplantae; Streptophyta; Magnoliopsida; Poales; Poaceae. The record is from Rfam.